Molecule: ribosomal RNA, 460 nt
Filed under: Pseudomonas aeruginosa
Lineage: Bacteria; Pseudomonadati; Pseudomonadota; Gammaproteobacteria; Pseudomonadales; Pseudomonadaceae
Description: bacterial SSU rRNA
Rfam family: Bacterial small subunit ribosomal RNA
Source: RNAcentral
GCGGCAGGCCUAACACAUGCAAGUCGAGCGGAUGAAGGGAGCUUGCUCCUGGAUUCAGCGGCGGACGGGUGAGUAAUGCCUAGGAAUCUGCCUGGUAGUGGGGGAUAACGUCCGGAAACGGGCGCUAAUACCGCAUACGUCCUGAGGGAGAAAGUGGGGGAUCUUCGGACCUCACGCUAUCAGAUGAGCCUAGGUCGGAUUAGCUAGUUGGUGGGGUAAAGGCCUACCAAGGCGACGAUCCGUAACUGGUCUGAGAGGAUGAUCAGUCACACUGGAACUGAGACACGGUCCAGACUCCUACGGGAGGCAGCAGUGGGGAAUAUUGGACAAUGGGCGAAAGCCUGAUCCAGCCAUGCCGCGUGUGUGAAGAAGGUCUUCGGAUUGUAAAGCACUUUAAGUUGGGAGGAAGGGCAGUAAGUUAAUACCUUGCUGUUUUGACGUUACCAACAGAAUAAGCACC